GUCUACGGCUAUACCACCCUAAAUGCUCCCAAUCUCGUCUAAUCUCAGAAGCUAAGCAGGUUCGGGCCUGGUUAGUGCUUAGAUG
This 85-nucleotide ribosomal RNA is filed under the name Dipodomys ordii (Ord's kangaroo rat). The record is from RNAcentral. Lineage: Eukaryota; Metazoa; Chordata; Mammalia; Rodentia; Heteromyidae.